This 978-nucleotide ribosomal RNA is filed under the name Flavobacterium sp. Its description in RNAcentral is "bacterial SSU rRNA". It matches the Rfam family "Bacterial small subunit ribosomal RNA", at positions 43 to 1038 of the family's 1533-position model. Lineage: Bacteria; Pseudomonadati; Bacteroidota; Flavobacteriia; Flavobacteriales; Flavobacteriaceae. The record is from RNAcentral.
CAUGCGCUACCAGCAGUCGAGGGGUAUAGUUCUUCGGAGCUAGAGACCGGCGCACGGGUGCGUAACGCGUAUGCAAUCUACCUUUUACAGGGGGAUAGCCCAGAGAAAUUUGGAUUAAUACCCCAUAGUAUAGUGGUACCGCAUGGUACUACUAUUAAAGUCACAACGGUAAAAGAUGAGCAUGCGUCCCAUUAGCUAGUUGGUAAGGUAACGGCUUACCAAGGCUACGAUGGGUAGGGGUCCUGAGAGGGAGAUCCCCCACACUGGUACUGAGACACGGACCAGACUCCUACGGGAGGCAGCAGUGAGGAAUAUUGGACAAUGGGCGCAAGCCUGAUCCAGCCAUGCCGCGUGCAGGAUGACGGUCCUAUGGAUUGUAAACUGCUUUUGUACGAGAAGAAACACUCCUACGUGUAGGAGCUUGACGGUAUCGUAAGAAUAAGGAUCGGCUAACUCCGUGCCAGCAGCCGCGGUAAUACGGAGGAUCCAAGCGUUAUCCGGAAUCAUUGGGUUUAAAGGGUCCGUAGGCGGUCUUGUAAGUCAGUGGUGAAAGCCCAUCGCUCAACGGUGGAACGGCCAUUGAUACUGCAGGACUUGAAUUAUUAGGAAGUAACUAGAAUAUGUAGUGUAGCGGUGAAAUGCUUAGAGAUUACAUGGAAUACCAAUUGCGAAGGCAGGUUACUACUAAUGGAUUGACGCUGAUGGACGAAAGCGUGGGUAGCGAACAGGAUUAGAUACCCUGGUAGUCCACGCCGUAAACGAUGGAUACUAGCUGUUGGGAGCAAUUUCAGUGGCUAAGCGAAAGUGAUAAGUAUCCCACCUGGGGAGUACGAACGCAAGUUUGAAACUCAAAGGAAUUGACGGGGGCCCGCACAAGCGGUGGAGCAUGUGGUUAAUUCGAUGAUACGCGAGGACCUUACCAAGGCUAAAUGUAGUCUGACCGAUUUGGAAACGAUCUUUCGCAAGACAGAUUACAAG